Phoenix dactylifera (date palm) is the source of this 3468-nucleotide non-coding RNA. The record is from RefSeq and is a predicted model, not a curated record. NCBI's taxonomy places the organism in Eukaryota, Viridiplantae, Streptophyta, Magnoliopsida, Arecales, Arecaceae.
UCUUUCAGAGAAUAUAAGAUUUUCGUUGACUGUGGACUCAAUUUAUUUGUUAUGUGAUUUGUGCUCAUGUCCCUAAGCUUGCUUCGAAUGAUAAUGAGCCCUUUUGGCUGCUACAAAAUGACUCCGGGCACUGGCUUGAAUCUUGAAGCAAACUUAGAAAAAGAAAAACUCAUAAAGCUCCAAAUAUAUACGACUACACGUGAACCAACUAUGUUGGUUUGUUAUCUCAAGUUGAGCCAAGACCUUCGUACCGUAUCUUCUGCUUGACCCCACCUCUGCUAAAACUUAAAAUAUUUCUUGAUUUAGGUAGAAUGAUUUUCAUGAUUAUAGAACAUCAAAAUUCAGAAUACAGUUUGAACAGUAUGUUGAUUGAGUUCAACAAAAAUGCUCAUCCUUUAUUAGCAUAAUUUCCAAUUGCCUUCCUGUCUUUUCCCCUGACCCUUCUCUCGUGAUUUGAAACAUGGUGGUAAUAACCUCUCUCUUUAAAAGAAAACGAAGAAUAAAAAAUUGAUGGCAGCUUUAAAUUGUCUAUUAUUUCAUGUAACUUUCUGCUAUCAAUUCAAGUUUUGAUAUAUCUUAUUUAACAGCAAAUCAUGGGCUUUUUGUUAUAUGGUUUUGGAAUUGCUUACUAAUUUCAAUGUAGUUGCCUAUCAAGGGCAAAUCCAUUUUUCUUAAUGUGACAGCAGAAGAAAUGGACUGAACUUUGGUUGCCUAUCUAUGUAAGCAUGCGUGUGCAUGCAUUGAUAAGGCUUGUAGACCAUUGUACCACUUCACUAUUAAUUGUUUUCAAUCUAAAUUGUAUAGAGCAACAUAAACUGAAGCUAUUAGUCCAAUUCUUGAUAUUGAGAAGCCCCAAAGUGCCUUAGAGAGGUUCAUAUUUUAUCCUUUAUCACAAAGACUCGUCCAACCAUGCCUAAAAAGAAGAGAUGACCUUCGCAAGUAGAUUCAUUGCAGCAUAUAAAAUGCGGGCAAUGCAGAAAGCUUAGGUACAACAGAAGGGCGGCUUGUAAUAAGGUCAUCGACUAAAUAAUAUAAAGAUUACUUGUUGUAUAUGAAGAUCUAAAACUCAAAUUAUUUUGAAAUCUCUAAUUUUCGCUUAGUUAUGUGCUUCACAUUAUAAGUUGAAGGUGGAGCUUUAAAUUAUGGUGAAUUUCAAUACUAAAUUUUUAGAUAAGAAUUACACAGCAUAUGUCCAUAAGAUGUUAUGCUAAUGUUUAUCUCAAAAAAUAUACAUUUUUAAAUUUCUGUUUAGUAAGUACUUCGUAAGUACAUUGAGGAUAAUGGAGUAAUAUAUGGAGUUAAUUAUUUCACCUGCAUGCUCUUAUAAUUUGUGGUAAGGUUCGGUAUCGAGCUAUCUGUUGGACUUUGUGGUUCAUUUGAGAUAUGUUUUCGUCUGGUUUCCACUGUGCAUCCUUGAACAUGGAUGUGGUUAUCUCUGACAUCAUUUCACCGGGAUGCUCGAAUAUUUUUUGGUAUGUUCCAAUACCAAGCAGUUUGUCGAACUUUGUAGUUCAAUUUUGAUGCAUUCUCGUCGUAUAUGUUCAAAUUUAGGCUUAGAUUGGAAGAGUUUCCCUUACGUCCCGUACAUGAAUGCUUCUAUCUCUAAAAUCGUUUCGGCGCACGCUCAAAUAUUUUUUGGAACGAUCCGAUAUCAAGCUAUUUAUCGAAUUUUGUGUUUCAAUUGUGAUGUGUUUUCAUCGUCCAUGUUUGAAUUUAUCUUAGUACACAGUUAAUAUAGCUUGGUACACAGUUAAAUAUGAUUGGUAUAUAAUUAAGUCAACUUGGAACACAGUUAAUAUAGCUCGAUACAUAGUUAGUUCAACAAUGUGUAUAGUUAAAUAAACUUGGUAUGGUACACUGUAAAUUUUUGAAUGUCGGGUCAACACUAAAUAUAAGAGUCUACAACUCAAAAUUUCGAAAGUGGAAAGCUGUCAUUCUGAUAAAUGGAUAGUACCCUUAUUGGUGGUUCUCUUGGUUUUGCAAUGAUCAAUAUAUUCUUACAUGUUCCUAAAUAUAUAGCAAAAUUUGCAUAAAUUAAACUUCGUGGGCAUAAUAAAGGACAUGGUGAAUGAAUGUAUCAGGUUAUGGCUGAAGUAGGAUUGCUUUUCCAAAUACAUUCUCAAUGACAAGGGCCAAGGUGAAUGCUCAUAUAUACCAGUAACAUGAAUUAAAUUGGAAAACAUUAAGAAUAUGUUUUCGAAGCAACUUAGGAGUACCAAGAUUAUACAAUAUGAUAUAUUCUCUUUUUCGAAAACAAAAAGGAGGAAUCUACCAACCUGGUUCAUUUAGUUGUGUAAAAAAAAAAGUAAGAAACAAGCUGUUCGAGCGAUGCUACCCAAGUAAAACAAGCAUGCUAUACGAGGCCCACAUAUGCUAUAAAAGGCUGGUUUGGGUUUUAGAAUUAGAUAUGUUCUAUUUUGGGGGUCGGAUCUUAGUUAUUUAAAUUUUGACUUAACUUGGUCCGAUCCACUUGAAAUUUGGAUAAUUUUGGAUUUACAAUCCUACGACCUGCUCCAAUUCAAUCGGAAUCUGUAAAAUUAUUUGGACUCAUGGGCCACAGGAUACAAACCAAACAAGUUAUCGCUCAGUUGGAUCGGGUGCUUAAGGCUCAGCUCAGAGCUCUGUGAUCUCUGACUUGUGAGAUCGUGCUUUUUUUGCUAAAAUCUUGUGAGAUCGUGCUUUUUUUGCUAAAAUCUUGCGAGAUCGUGCUUCGAGGCCAGAACCAGAGCAGGCGUUUAGAAAGUAAGGGUUUCGUCGUUUCGAGCCUUCGAGGUGGAGCCGUGGAGGCGAGGGAGAAGGAUGGGCGAAGAAGGUGUGAGGGAUAAGGGAGAGAGAGGGAGGGUGGGAGAGAGAGAGAGAGAGGGUGGUGGUCAAAAGUGGAGCUCCUCCGACAACGGCGCUCAAGGUUCCGGCAACGGUGCUUAGGGUUCUGGCAGCGUGGCGGCGAUAAGCUUCUUUUGUAACGCCCCCUAAAUUCCUCCUUAUCGAAUUACUCAUAGAUGAAGUGUGGCUCAUCGAUUGUCCACCACCCACUGUGUCGUCGGUCUCAACACUCACUGCAAACAAGCCAAGGUGAGAGAGGUCGUCGAGCUCAUGAACUUACGCACCUUGCUGAUUCCCCAACCUUUUCUCCAAGCACUUGAGGAAAUUCAAGUGCUUUUGGUGCUUGUUGCAUGUUUGACAAAAUGGCUCAACGAAGAAGGUAUCUGCUAUUUUAGUUCCGAUGGACACAGGUGUUUGAUUUAUUCAAAUCCAUAUGACAGUAAGUCUUUGGAACAACCGCCUCUCAUGACUUUCCUCUUAAAGAUAAAAGAUAAGAACGAGUACUAUCACAUGUAUAUGGGUCAGCUUUCCUUUAAAAAAUAUUAUGAAUUUCAUGUGAGGUUAUUUCGGGCCUUUUGGGAUUUGUAAGACUUAACUUUUGACUUGAUUCUAUUUUUACAACUAUUGUUAGAAUUUUUCCUGAGA